Molecule: transfer RNA, 63 nt
Filed under: Marmota marmota marmota (Alpine marmot)
Lineage: Eukaryota; Metazoa; Chordata; Mammalia; Rodentia; Sciuridae
Also listed under: 1 other name
Rfam family: tRNA
About the family: Transfer RNA (tRNA) molecules are approximately 80 nucleotides in length. Their secondary structure includes four short double-helical elements and three loops (D, anti-codon, and T loops). Further hydrogen bonds mediate the characteristic L-shaped molecular structure. tRNAs have two regions of fundamental functional importance: the anti-codon, which is responsible for specific mRNA codon recognition, and the 3' end, to which the tRNAs corresponding amino acid is attached (by aminoacyl-tRNA synthetases). tRNAs cope with the degeneracy of the genetic code in two manners: having more than one tRNA (with a specific anti-codon) for a particular amino acid; and 'wobble' base-pairing, i.e. permitting non-standard base-pairing at the 3rd anti-codon position.
Source: Rfam by way of RNAcentral
AUGUGGUUCUGUGGAAGAGCACCUGCCUGGCAUGCAUGAAGACCUGGGUUCAAUCCCCAGUGU